This 497-nucleotide ribosomal RNA is filed under the name uncultured bacterium. Its description in RNAcentral is "partial 16S ribosomal RNA". It matches the Rfam family "Bacterial small subunit ribosomal RNA", at positions 28 to 507 of the family's 1533-position model. The record is from RNAcentral.
GAUGAACGCUGGCGGCGUGCCUAAUACAUGCAAGUCGAGCGAACAGACGAGGAGCUUGCUCCUCUGACGUUAGCGGCGGACGGGGGAGUAACACGUGGAUAACCUACUUAUAAGACUGGGAAAACUUCGGGAAACCGGAGCUAAACCCGGAUAAUAUCUUGAACCGAAUGGUGAAAUGUGAAAAGACGGUUUUUGUGUAACUAAUAGAUGGUUCUGCGCCGCAUUAGCUAGUUGGUAAGGUAACGGCUUACCAAGGCAACGAUGCGUAGCCGACCUGAGAGGGUGAUCGGCCACACUGGAACUGAGACACGGUCCAGACUCCUACGGGAGGCAGCAGUAGGGAAUCUUCCGCAAUGGGCGAAAGCUUGACGGAGCAACGCCGCGUGAGUGAUGAAGGUCUUCGGAUCGUAAAACUCUGUUAUUAGGGAAGAACAAAUGUGUAAGUAACUAUGCACGUCUUGACGGUACCUAAUCAGAAAGCCACGGCUAACUACGUG